RNAcentral lists this microRNA precursor (78 nucleotides) under Tribolium castaneum (red flour beetle). RNAcentral describes it as "mir-67 microRNA precursor family". It matches the Rfam family "mir-67 microRNA precursor family". The record is from Rfam by way of RNAcentral. Lineage: Eukaryota; Metazoa; Arthropoda; Insecta; Coleoptera; Tenebrionidae.
UAUCUCGGUGACUCACUCAACCUGGGUGUGAUGUGUUUGCUGUACCAUCACAACCUCCUUGAGUGAGCGACCGGGUGG